GAGGGUAUACCUCAGUGGUAGAGUACAUGCUUAGCAUGCACAAGGUCCUGGGUUUAAUACCCAGUAACUCCA
Molecule: transfer RNA, 72 nt
Filed under: Camelus bactrianus (Bactrian camel)
Lineage: Eukaryota; Metazoa; Chordata; Mammalia; Artiodactyla; Camelidae
Also listed under: 1 other name
Rfam family: tRNA
About the family: Transfer RNA (tRNA) molecules are approximately 80 nucleotides in length. Their secondary structure includes four short double-helical elements and three loops (D, anti-codon, and T loops). Further hydrogen bonds mediate the characteristic L-shaped molecular structure. tRNAs have two regions of fundamental functional importance: the anti-codon, which is responsible for specific mRNA codon recognition, and the 3' end, to which the tRNAs corresponding amino acid is attached (by aminoacyl-tRNA synthetases). tRNAs cope with the degeneracy of the genetic code in two manners: having more than one tRNA (with a specific anti-codon) for a particular amino acid; and 'wobble' base-pairing, i.e. permitting non-standard base-pairing at the 3rd anti-codon position.
Source: Rfam by way of RNAcentral